GUCUCUUUGAUUAUACUAUAUAAAGAGUUUGACCUGCCCAGUGAUAUAAUUUUAACGGCCGCAGUACUCUGACUGUGCAAAGGUAGCAUAAUAAUUUGCCUUAUAAUUGAUGGCUAGUAUGAAUGGUUUGACGAAAGCAUUUCUGUCUCAAAUAUAUUUUUCAUAAUUUAUCUUUUAGGUUAAAAGACCUAAAUGAAACAAAAGGACGAGAAGACCCUAUCGAGCUUUAAAAAAGUUUAAUGAGAAAAAAUAUUAUUAAGAUUUUUUUUACUAAAAAUGUUUUUGGUUGGGGCGACCUAGGAACAAAUAAAGCUUCCUUAAAUAAAUGAAUAAUAAUACAAAGAUCCAACGGAAAUGUUGAUAAAUGGAAUUAGUUACCGUAGGGAUAACAGCGUUAUUUUCUCUAAGAGACCUUAUUAAGGAGAAAGUUUGCGACCUCGAUGUUGGAUUGAGAUAGCUUAAAGGUGCAGAAGCUUUUGUAAGUUAGUCUGUUCGACUAUAAAAAUCUCACAU
This 513-nucleotide ribosomal RNA is filed under the name Cochlostoma kontschani. Its description in RNAcentral is "partial 16S ribosomal RNA". It matches the Rfam family "Bacterial large subunit ribosomal RNA", at positions 1819 to 2601 of the family's 2925-position model. Lineage: Eukaryota; Metazoa; Mollusca; Gastropoda; Architaenioglossa; Cochlostomatidae. The record is from RNAcentral.